Non-coding RNA from Oncorhynchus mykiss (rainbow trout), 3165 nucleotides. NCBI's taxonomy places the organism in Eukaryota, Metazoa, Chordata, Actinopteri, Salmoniformes, Salmonidae. The record is from RefSeq and is a predicted model, not a curated record.
CUGUUUUAAGUUUGCAAAUUCAAUUUCGUACUACUAGCUACAGGAUGAUUUAUUGUUGCUAAAGAGGUGAUAAAGCAACCGUAAGGUUUAGUAACUUGUGCAUUCGAGAAUAUUUCAAACAUUCUGGUAUUUUAAGCUGUUAGCUGUCAAAUGAAAAAUAUGCUAUUUAGUUAGCGUUAAUAGCAUAUAACCGAUAAGCACGCUAACUUCAAGACAAGUGGAUAGCAGCAUGCAAUGAGAAACAUUAUGCAUGUAGUAGACAUAGCCAUCAUAUCUAUCUUAUUUCAUUUUGAAGCAAAAGUAUGAGGGCCUAAUAGAUUAUUAUGUCGUCAACUUCAUAACGUUAGUGAAUCAAAUUAUUUGUGUCUGCUCUGUCAUGUCUUCCCAGGUGAUGACAGGAGGCUUUGUCAGCCAACUUUUACAUUUGUAUUAUUGUUUCAAUACAUUAUUUUCAUUCUCUGACCUUUCUUUUGCCUUAAUAACUCAAGAAGCAGGUAAGGCUUUCAAUGAAAGGGUGUUAAAAGAGCAGGUGACAUUAUUUAGCAGACACUCUUAUCCAGAGCAAUUAUGGUUAAGUGCCUUGCUCAAGGGCACAUCAACUGAUUUUUCACCUGGUCGGCUGGGGGAUUCAAACCAGCGACCUUUCGGUUACUGGCACCAAAGCUCUUAAUCGGUAGACCACCUGCCUAUAUGACUGCAAUCAAAUCCAAUGUUGUUGUGACUUGGGUGUCACAAAGACAACCUUCUUGUAGUGCUGACAGAGUCAACCAUCUUGGUCCCCACCGCAUCCAAUGGAGGGUGGGGGAAGUGAGGGAGGAGGGGAAGAGGAGAGGAGGGGAACCCCGCCACAGGAGGAGGAGAUGAACAGCCAGGUGGUGCUGACGAGGCAGCAGAGGACUCUGGCGUUACUGUGGUACCUGUGCAGGAGGGUGGAUCAGCAGAGCAGGCUGAGGCGGGGUCUGAUCACCCAGUGUCACAGUCAGGAGACAGUGGUACAGGUGCAGCCUUCAACCCCACCAGCAACUCAGAUAACGGAACGAUACCCUUUCCACCUCACCCCUCAUUGCACCUCUCAGUCCCCAUCUCUGACAGUGAUGGGGACGAGUUACACAGGGCGGCAGAAGAGGAUGAUGGUGCAGAUGAGCUAAUCGUGCUGGACCCCUGAACACCCGCUGAUGAGAAGGUUCCAGACUGCACCUCCAUAAGCAACUGGAGAGACUCAAUGUAGAGUUGCGAGAGAAGAUGGCUAUUUAGACCGCAGGCCCAGCGCCAACAGGCCCAGGAUCAGCUAGAGCGGGUCCGAAGCCAGUACCGCACAAGCCAGGCCGGCAAGCAGAGGUCACACGUGUCCCAGCUGCAGAGUGAGGUAGAGAACCUGGCACUGCGUCUGUUCUACAUGCAGGUGGUUAACACCGACCUGCACUCCGACAUUACGGCCAUGAAGAACACCUCGCGCAAGCCCCACUCCGAGAAGACCCAGGCAGAAACACACCUGAUUCAAGAUCAGCCAAAUGGCAUCAUGUCACCGUCAUCGAGCGCAAGCAGGCCACCAUCAACAUUUACAACAAGAAGAUUGAGCAGCUCGUCGCCAGCACUGGGCACGAGGACCUGGGCCUGUUGGAGAUCUAGGCCAGUAUUCUGACCAAGCAGCUGGAGGGGGUGGGAGGAGAGAUCAAGGAGCAGCAGCAGCUCUGGCUGCGGCAGCAGGGGGAACUAGUGAGACUGAGCCAGGAGAAACAGGCCCGGAUCGCCGCCCUGCUCACACUGCAGGCCCAAUUCACCAUCCUACAGCAGAGGAAAGUCUGCACCGAGAGUACGUAAACACCCGCGGACCCGCACACACACUGACCCAGGAGAAACGGGCUCAGAACACCACUCUGCUCACACUACGGACGCAACUCUCCAUCCGCAACAAGAGUAAAACACACGCACAGUGGAUAUAGAGAGAAAUAUGAUUUAUUUAAGUGUCAUACACCUACCAGUACCCAGCCCACAGGUGGUUCUUUGUGACCCUGACCAAACAAACACACUCCCGUCCCCAAUACACACACCCUAACCCAUGGUCUCCCCCAACACACACCCUAAGCCAUGGUCUCCCCCAACACACACACCCUAAGCCAUGGUCUCCCCACCUCUCCGCUGUCUCCCGUCCAGGUGAGAUGCAACAGGAGCAGCGUGAGCAGGCCGAGAUGGAGAGACACAUGAAGGAGCUGAUGUCGGACAUGUUGAAGCUCAACUUCCUGCUGAUUGAGAGCAGGCAUCUCAACCAGGCCCUGAAGCAGGGCAAUGUCCUGAUGGACAUUGGUCAAACUGGUGUUCAUCAGUCCCCCAGUCAAAUAUGUACAGUACACAUACUGUAUGCUUAAUAUGUGUGUCUAUGUUGCGUGUGUGUCCCCACCCUAACAGCAAAGCGGAGGAGUGUGAGGGUCCCUCAAGAGCUGCAGCACGGCCAGGCCAGUCUGAGCAGCAGUCUGCGGGACAAACAGCUGCAGCUGGGAGAGCUCCACAGAGCCAGAACUGUCCUCACUUUAGACUUCCACUGUCUGCAGGACACCAAAUAGAGGAACCUGGCCCAUCUGGUCUCCCUCCAGGGCCGGGCCAAGCAGCUCCAAGCGGUGCAUGAGGGUCGCUACAGCGCCCUGUCCACCGGUGAAGCCUUGGAGCCUGCGUUGCAGGAGGAGCGUCUGCACACUGUGACCACCAUCCUGCACAGUGUCCAGCAGGAGUUCCCCCAGCACCAAGGGGCGCUACGACGCCUCUCCCUAGCCCUGCCCGCGUGCUUGCUGACACCGCUUGGUCAGGAGACCCACUGACUAUUACAUGACUGAAAACUCCCAUCAUAGGAUCACCCACGGAGUAGAUUGGAGAUAGAGAUCCAUUAUAGUUGUAGGAUUUUACUGCUCUAUGGUGUUCUAUGUUACUCUGACUGUUAGAAUUUGGGAGCUGGACUUGGGGUGGAAGCUCUCCUCCUGGCCUUGAUUGGGCAAUUUAGGUUUUCAGAAUAUUUCAGUUUAUUUUGUUUCAGUUCAUUUUCAGUUGAUAAAAUGAAGAGUUGAUUUAAUAUAUACACGGAAACAUCCUGCCAGCGUGUGAAAAUAAUAUUGUCCAUGGAUAAACUGAAGAUACACAUACAGUAUAUAAACAUUAAAGGCAACAUUUGAUAUU